This 76-nucleotide transfer RNA is filed under the name Eggerthellaceae bacterium. RNAcentral describes it as "tRNA-Ala". It matches the Rfam family "tRNA". From Rfam's summary of the family: Transfer RNA (tRNA) molecules are approximately 80 nucleotides in length. Their secondary structure includes four short double-helical elements and three loops (D, anti-codon, and T loops). Further hydrogen bonds mediate the characteristic L-shaped molecular structure. tRNAs have two regions of fundamental functional importance: the anti-codon, which is responsible for specific mRNA codon recognition, and the 3' end, to which the tRNAs corresponding amino acid is attached (by aminoacyl-tRNA synthetases). tRNAs cope with the degeneracy of the genetic code in two manners: having more than one tRNA (with a specific anti-codon) for a particular amino acid; and 'wobble' base-pairing, i.e. permitting non-standard base-pairing at the 3rd anti-codon position. Lineage: Bacteria; Bacillati; Actinomycetota; Coriobacteriia; Eggerthellales; Eggerthellaceae. The record is from RNAcentral.
GGGGUAUUAGCUCAGCUGGGAGAGCGCGGGCUUUGCAAGCCUGAGGUCAGGGGUUCGAGCCCCCUAUACUCCACCA